AAAGCUUUAAGUUAUAAAACUAUAAACCUUCAAAGUUUAAAAUAUGAUAAUAAUUCAUAAGCUUUA
RNAcentral lists this transfer RNA (66 nucleotides) under Nerthra indica. RNAcentral's name for it is "tRNA-Trp". The record is from RNAcentral. Lineage: Eukaryota; Metazoa; Arthropoda; Insecta; Hemiptera; Gelastocoridae.